CCGACUUUAGCUCAGUUGGUAGCAGCAACAGACUGUAGAUCUGUGGGUCCUCGGUUCGACUCCGAGAAGUCGGA
This 74-nucleotide transfer RNA is filed under the name Batrachochytrium dendrobatidis JEL423. RNAcentral describes it as "tRNA-Tyr (GTA) (tRNA-Tyr-GTA-1 1 to 3)". It matches the Rfam family "tRNA". Rfam says of the family: Transfer RNA (tRNA) molecules are approximately 80 nucleotides in length. Their secondary structure includes four short double-helical elements and three loops (D, anti-codon, and T loops). Lineage: Eukaryota; Fungi; Chytridiomycota; Chytridiomycetes; Rhizophydiales. The record is from RNAcentral. RNAcentral also lists the same sequence under 1 other name.